Molecule: long non-coding RNA, 146 nt
Organism: Amblyraja radiata (thorny skate)
Lineage: Eukaryota; Metazoa; Chordata; Chondrichthyes; Rajiformes; Rajidae
Exons: 2
Source: RefSeq, a predicted model, not a curated record
AUAAGUUUUACUCUGCAUUUUGAGAGGGAGAAGGUGAAAUUGGAUGUGUCGGUAUUACAGCUGAGCAAAGGGGACUACAGAGGCAUGAGUGAGGAACCGGCCAAAGUUGACUAGAUAGGGACCCUAGCAGGAAUGACGGUGGAACA